UGGUGCGACAGACGCCCUGCCAGCGCCAAAACACGGCUGUUCGGCGCACACAGGAGCCGCCUCUGGCCUGCCACUUCCUGCCCGGAGGACCACAGACCUGAGCCCGGCUAGGACGAGACGACCGCGGCUCACCUGCCAUCAACAGGCUCGCAGGGGCCCUCACUGCACCCAGGGGGCUGGGGCCGGGCCGACCACCGAGAGAACUCACCAUGCAUCCCCUGCUAGCCUCCCUGCUCAGGGGCAGCUGGGACGUGGGCAGCCGCCUCCCAGACUGUAGUCAGGGUCCCGGAUGUGGGGAAGGCCACCCAUCAGAGUCCUCGGGGCCACUCUGCCCUGCUCAGACCCAUCUGUCAUGAACCCUGGAGUGAGCGGUGCUGCUGGGGGCUGGUGCCCAGAGGUACGGGGUCCCUGGAGCUGGGAGGGUGGGCAGAGGAAGUGCCACAUGAGGAAGCUGCAGGGGUCUCCAUUCUGGCCACACAAAGUGCCCGAAGUGGAUAAUGCUUCCGGGGGAGUGGGGGUGACUGGAGGGUUGGAGGGAUAUCUGGGACGGCUCCCUGGGGGCAGUUCUCUUGUGAGCGUCUGUGUGUGUGAAAAUCCCUGUCAUGUCACCUUCCGGGAUGUGUGUGUGAAAAUCCCUGUCAUGUCACCUUCCGGGAUGUCCAUUCUACUUCAAUGCCAAGUGUAAGUACACAGUGCCUGACUCACACCCUCUGGGUGUCCGCUCCUGUGCUCAGAGCACCCUCCGCCAGGCACCCCCCAUCCACACCCAAAGGCAGGCCCAGGCACAUGGCUGGGGUGACAGAAUCUAAUUGGGGGCAAUCCCUGCAAGUCCAGGGUGGAGGGAGUGGGCAGGGCCGAGCGGCCGUGUGAACGAGCAGUGUCCUGCCUCCACGGGGAGCCCCGGUAGACGACCAACUGUGUGAGAUCAUCUACCUGUUCCUCCAGGUCACAACAAAUCCAUCCCUCCCCAGCCUGUUUCCAACUUGGUUGAAACACCCCUAAAUGCUCCGCAAAGUACCUGCGCAGCCCUGGGCUCUAAGAGGCUUGGCCAGGGGUAAGCUUAAAGGAGAGCACGCAUGUGCACACACAGACCCACCCACACAGACACAUGCACACGCAUGGAUCCACACACACAAACACACGUACACACAAGCUCGUAUACACAAACACAAGCACUCACAAAAUCACACACGUGCACACACACUUGUGCACACAGUAACUCAUACACACGAGUACAUGCCUGCAUUCACCUGACAACACAAACACGCGUGCAUACAGCAAACACACAUGCAUACACCUGUGCAUGCCCAUGUGCACACAGCAAAUAUCUGUACACAACCGAAUCCAUAGGUGUGCACAAGAAAACAUAUACACAGAUACACAUGCAUGUAGUGCACACAAACAUACACAACGCACACACACAAGCACACAUGCGGGCACACACGGAGAGAUUUUGGUUCUUUGCUCAUAAAUCAUUUGUUCACUAAUUAAAUCACCCAUCAGCUCCUCCGACAAGGGUGGCAUGGGCGCCUUCUGCCUGCCAGGUGAGUUCUGAGUGCUGAAGCUCCCACAGGAAACGGUACGUCCCGGGAGCAACAGUCUUGAAGACUAUGGUUGGCUUCCUUGUCUUGCCCUGGCCAGAGGUGGGGCCCUGGGUUAGCACAAGGCUUUCUCAGAUGAAGUUCCAAAGUUUCCCCAUAAAAGGAGUCACUCCGAGCUAGCAUCGCCCACGACAUCCUUCCAGGCCUGGCUCCCCUGGGGCACGUGGAGUGCAGCGGGCGGGCGGGUCUGUGCAGCGGACGGGGCACCCUCCCCGUGUAGGGAAGGUGCUCUGCUCUUCCCACCCUGGGACUCUGUUCCCCGAAUCCGGCCCCCACCACACUCCAUGGCACCCAGCUAUGCCCCUGCCGCUGUCCUGUUCAUCCUUUCACACUUUUGGGGGUUUGGUGGCUUUAGCAUGGCCUGUCCCCUCCAGGGACCCACCGACCUGCAUGCCAGGGUUUACUUCAGCCUCAUCUGGGAAGGGAGCAGCCCUCGGGAGGCCCCUCGAGUACCCAGGAAAUGAAGAAGAGAGAAAAUGAGGCUGAGCUGCUCCGAUUGGCCCAAAGGUCCUGAGUCGGAAGAUGACAAAGAAACCCCGCCUUAGAGUCUGGACUCUGCUUCCCCAGUCCACGGCCAUGUGGCUCAGCAGCUGGCGUGGGGGCACCAGGAGGAUGGGGACCCUCCCCCUCUGGGAACUAAGGGCGGGAAGCCCACUGAGCGCUCAGGGUGUCCUGCUCCGCCCUGGAGAGAGUGGCCGGAGCCUGCACCCUGGGUUAGGGGGUGAGGCCGGGGAGCCAGGCAGGUACCAGGCCAGCUCCUGCUAGGCCGUCCUGCGGGCCAUACCUGUCUCUCACAUCACUCAGGCCUGGAGCCUCUCCCUGUGCUUCCUCUGCCAGCACAUGUGUGAGUGUGUACAUCACACACAGAUGACACGUGUGCACAGAGAGGUAUGCACACAGAGGGAUGUGCACACACACUCACACAACAUCGUAUGUUACAACGCCCUCUUACGCCUGGAGACAUUUGGGAAGGUGCUUGACUUGUUUGGUUACCCCUUUCUAACUCGCCCAUCCCCCAACUGUUCACACCUUGUCAGCCCCCAACCCCAGAGCCUCCAAGUCACCUCCCAGGUGCCACUGUCAGCCCUGACACCUCCUUCCUGGGCAGGGGCUGUGAGGGGACGCCUCCUUCCAGGACAGGGGGCACCAUCCGGGCAAUAACAUGGGCCACAGUUGCCCCAUGAUCCUCCCUACACUUUGUUGCUGUCCCAGCCGCAGGCCCGGCCCUGACACAAGCGGCUUCUCCAGCCAGCUGUGCAAAAAAGGAAUGCGUCCUCCCUGGGCCCACAGCUGGAUGGCCACAUAGCAGGCGUUCCUCCACAGCUCAGUGGUGUUACCCUGGGAUCUGAACAUGGCAAUGGCCUGGGGCCUGAUCGCGAAAAGGGAAAAGCAGUGUUACCAGGGACAUCCUCCUGGGGGUUUUAGAAUCUCCCCCUUGGAGGGGAGGAGAAGAAGAGUGAGGGAGGACUGCCGGCCCAGCCCCAUGAGUGGAGGGUGCACCGAGCCACUAACCUCUGGUCCCUGCCCACCUGGGAGCUCCUCCCUCACAGGCAGUGCCAGUCUGUGGCAGGGGUCAGGCCACCUGUUCUAUUUGCCUUUAGUUCAUAGCCUGAUCAAACGGUUAAUGAGUUCAAAGUUACAUUCCUUAUCUCAUUUUUAAGAUUGAAUGAGGACUCAAACCCUGCACCUGGACCAGUGACCCUGGGCAUUCUCUCUCAUCAUUGCACAACCACAGAAGCUUGUAUCUCCCUGCCAGCCUUUUAUGAGGUGCAGCCACGGGUCCUUUGCUUUCUUAUUCACCGCUGACGUCUGUACUAAUGACGACACGCUUUCGAAUGCCAGUUUGCUGACUGAAGUACUAGCUACAGCUGGAACCAGUUUCAGUUGCAUUUCUGCCUCUUACAACCAAGGGAGCCUUGACUGAGACCCACUCAUAGAAAAUGGGGCAGAAAAUAGGAACUGACACUCAAAAGAAACACAAAUGGCCAAUGAACAUGAAAAGAAGAACCGCUUUCCAUAAGGAAAUCCAAGAAUUGCACAUUACAAUAAAUGCGUGCUAUUACGGAUUGAACUGUGUCCCCCUCCUGAAAGGUAUGUUAGUCCUCACCCCCUGUACCUAAGAACAUGGCCUUAUUUGGAAAUAGCAGAUGUAACUAGUUAGAGUGAGAUCAUACUGGAGUAGGCUGGGCCCUAAAUACAGAACGCCUUGUGUCCUUGUAAGAAGAGAGGGAGGCCCUGGGAAAAGCCGGCCCAUCUGAAGAUGGCGGCAGAGACUGGAUGAGGGAUCUGUAAGCCAAGGGCUCACGGUGUCCCUGAGAACCUCCAGAAGCUGGAAGAGGCAUGAAAGGAAUCUCCCCAGCAGCCGGAAGAGGGAACAUGGCCUUGCCCACACCUUGAUUUCAGACAUCUGGCUCCAGAACUGUGGGAGGAUACAUUUCUGUUGUUUGGAGCUGCCUGGUUUUUCAUACUUUGUUAUGGCUGCCCUAGGAAACUAAUACAGAUAUUACUUUCCACUUCUGAGCUUAGCAAAAUAUUUUUAAAAUGAAAAUUCUUACAUGUUGGCACAGUUUAAGGUCAGGGGUGCCCCAGCCGUUUGGCAACAUAGAUCAAAGGUUUUAAGAUACUUUAUCCCCUUUCACUUGGUAAUUCCAUUUUUAAGGCUUUAUCCUAGGGAAGAAUUUCACAUAGGAAUUAUGAGUUUUGGGAAAGAUGCUCAUAAUAACACUGUUUAUAGUAACGGGUGGAAACAACAAAUGUCUACAAAGAGAAAUGUUAAAUAAAUGGGAAUGUUAUAUGUUAAACGUGAGAUAUUAGAUAUUAAGAAUAAUGUAUUUAAAUUAUAUAUGAUACCUGGAAUUCUCUUUCUACAAAUAGAAAAAGAGGAUGUAAGACUGUUCAU
Long non-coding RNA from Piliocolobus tephrosceles (Ugandan red Colobus), 4500 nucleotides. RefSeq lists it as uncharacterized. The record is from RefSeq and is a predicted model, not a curated record. The transcript is spliced from 3 exons. NCBI's taxonomy places the organism in Eukaryota, Metazoa, Chordata, Mammalia, Primates, Cercopithecidae.